AGGAUAAACGCUGGCGGCGUGCCUAACACAUGCAAGUCGAACGCGCUUUCGGGCUUCGGUGCGAGAGCGAGUGGCGGACGGGUGAGUAACACAUGGGUACCUACCUUGGAGUGAGGGAUACCGGCGAGAAAUCGCCGACAAUACCGCAUAGGCUUCUUCACAAGGGAAGCAAAGUGACGCGAGUCACGCUUUGAGAUGGGCCUGUGGCCGAUUAGCUAGUUGGGGGGUAAUGGCCCACCAAGACGAUGAUCGGUA
RNAcentral lists this ribosomal RNA (255 nucleotides) under uncultured bacterium. Its description in RNAcentral is "partial small subunit ribosomal RNA". It matches the Rfam family "Bacterial small subunit ribosomal RNA", at positions 26 to 285 of the family's 1533-position model. The record is from RNAcentral.